This is a non-coding RNA of Schizosaccharomyces pombe (fission yeast), 599 nucleotides long. The record is from the annotation of a GenBank genome assembly. Lineage: Eukaryota; Fungi; Ascomycota; Schizosaccharomycetes; Schizosaccharomycetales; Schizosaccharomycetaceae.
UAUUGACAUCACUAACAUUUUGAAUGGGUUGUGAGUGAAGUAAUUUCAUAAUAACCAGCUGACAACAAGACGCCCACGCAUUCGUUCCAAGCUUAGAACACUGAGAAUUGAAAAUACGAAACAAAAUUUGUGCUGCACCAUUUCGAACACUUGCCCAUGAGUUUUCGCAAAGAUCGGCAAGAUGCACUAGAAGCAUAAUCCAAAGUACUUCUGGAAGAAUCUCUUUCGAUUUCAUUGAAGUAAAGGCGUAUAGGUCUUCAACUGAAUUAUAUGCACAAGAAAAGUCUGACGUACUGAACAUGUUUUUCAAUGUAUCAGAGACAUUCCAAAACAACCCAACGGCUGUCAGAGACACAUUGGCGUCUUCAAGUUGCCUACAAAAUACGAGCAAGGUGUCCAUGAGAUCUAAAUAGUUGCUUGUGUCAAGUGAAGCCAAAAAGUCAGUACAUAUUAAUUGAAGGCAAGAGAAAGCAAGCCUCACAAUUUUCGCACCCUUUUCACUCCCAAAACAAGUGGCACCGUUUAAACAGUUAAAUCUCAACAUUUCAAACACGUACUGCCAUCCAUGAAGGACGUGAUGGCCAACAGUCUCCAAAAUU